GGGAUGAGAUUGGUAUAUGCAGGGAUAUACCCAUAUAUAUGACGCCUCUUUCCUUACAAGGAAGAAGUCACAGGUUCAAAUCCUGUAGCGCCCA
Molecule: transfer RNA, 94 nt
Filed under: Acidimicrobiia bacterium
Lineage: Bacteria; Bacillati; Actinomycetota; Acidimicrobiia
Description: tRNA-Val
Source: RNAcentral